RNAcentral lists this ribosomal RNA (251 nucleotides) under uncultured SAR86 cluster bacterium. Its description in RNAcentral is "partial 16S ribosomal RNA". It matches the Rfam family "Bacterial small subunit ribosomal RNA", at positions 1285 to 1532 of the family's 1533-position model. The record is from RNAcentral. Lineage: Bacteria; Pseudomonadati; Pseudomonadota; Gammaproteobacteria.
UUCGUAGUCCGGAUUGGAGUCUGGCAACUCGACUCCAUGGAAGUCGGAAUCGCUAGUAAUCGCGAAUCAGCAUGUCGCGGUGAAUACGUUCUCGGGUCUUGGUACACACCGCCCGUCACACCAUGGAAGUGGAUUGCACCAGAAGUAGAUAGUCUAACCUUCGGGAGGGCGUUUACCACGGUGUGCUUCAUGACUGGGGUGAAGUCGUAACAAGGUAGCCGUAGGGGAACCUGUGGCUGGAUCACCUCCUU